Molecule: unclassified non-coding RNA, 306 nt
Filed under: uncultured fungus
Lineage: Eukaryota; Fungi
Description: partial contains small subunit ribosomal RNA, internal transcribed spacer 1, and 5.8S ribosomal RNA
Rfam family: Eukaryotic small subunit ribosomal RNA (bases 1-73)
Source: RNAcentral
GCAAACUUGGUCAUUUAGAGGAAGUAAAAGUCGUAACAAGGUCUCCGUUGGUGAACCAGCGGAGGGAUCAUUAAAGAGUUUAUAAAACUCCCAAACCCAUGUGAAUUUACCAUUGUUGCCUCGGCGAAACCUACCCUGUACCUACCCUGUAGCUACCCUGUAGCCGUUGGGAGAAGUUACGCGGUAGCGCUUCGCCGGCGGAUUUUUCAAACUCGUUAUUCAUAUGCUUUCUGAGCGUCUUAUUUUGAAUAAGUCAAAACUUUCAACAACGGAUCUCUUGGUUCUGGCAUCGAUGAAGAACGCAGC